RNAcentral lists this ribosomal RNA (726 nucleotides) under uncultured stramenopile. RNAcentral's name for it is "eukaryotic LSU rRNA". It matches the Rfam family "Eukaryotic large subunit ribosomal RNA", at positions 1 to 669 of the family's 3401-position model. The record is from RNAcentral.
UUGGACCUGAAAUCAGGAAAGAAGACCCGCUGAAUUUAAGCAUAUAACUAAGCGGAGGAAAAGAAACUAACAAGGAUUCCCUCAGUAACGGCGAGUGAAGCGGGAAGAGCUCAACUUGAAAAUCUCUGCCUCUUGUAAGGCAGCGAAUUGUAGUCUAUAGAUGUGAUUACCAGUAAAUUGUAAGGCAUAAUUCAUGUGGAAUCAUGAACCAUGGAGGGUGAUAGUCCCGUACUAUGGCUUUAAUAAUUUACAUACGGUGCGCAUUCGACGAGUCGGAUAUCUUGAGACUGAUGUCCUAAUGGGUGGUAAAUUCCAUCCAAAGCUAAAUAAAGGCGAGAGACCGAUAGCGAACAAGUACUGUGAAGGAAAGAUGAAAAGAACUUUGAAAAGAGAGUUAAAAAGUACCUGAAAUUGUUGAAAGGAAAGUGUAUGAAACUAGUGUUGCUUACUUGUACCUGUACUUGUAGGCAGGUCAGCAUGGAUUGAUUUCGUAAGAGACGGUUUUAAUGAAGGUAUGUGGCUUCGGCCAUUGUUAUAGCAUUAAUUACUUGUUAUGGAGUCGAUUGAGGUUGCUUGGUACCUUAUUAGGUAUGCUUGCCAUGAUUUUUAUGUAAAUUUAUUGCAUGCAAUGUUUAUAUGUAAAAGUUGUGAUUCUUGUAUAUUUGAUUGUAUCAACGUGAUGCUGACGAAAUGGUUUCCUACAGCCCGUCUUGAAACACGGACCAA